CCGCUACAAGACCAGUAAACACUCAUAGCCUCUGAGCCUCUCUCCAGCUCCUGCCAGCUUUUAUACAUCACAUCCUAACCUCCUCCAUCACACAAAAGCCACAACCAUUUCUUUACAUUGAGACUUAGCAUGACUUAAGCCACUGGUGAGAAGUCUGCUCAAAUCCUUAGAAACUCCACUGUCAACUAGAGCUAAGACAGUAUCUGCAAGGUCUUCAGAAGCCUUGUUGUCUACCCAUGUGGCCUCCAAGAAAUGCACUUGAGUGUUACUGAGGCAUUACUGAAGGAUUUACAGCCGCACCCUUGGCUUCCUCUCCAGCUCAACCCACAAUUUACUGGCAGCACCCUGGUUUGUGCCUUUGCUCUGAAGCCUGUUCUUCCGCAGAGAGCCUUCAGCUGUAACAGCGCUGCUACCUCCUUAGAUUUCCUAAAUUCUGCUCCAAAGUGGAACAGUGCCUUCCUUAGUUCCUUAGUUAACCGGCUCUUCUGCCUGACAAAGUCAGUUCGGAGAAGUUCCAGGCACUUUCAAUGCAUUGCUUGAAAAUUCUUUAGACAAGACUCUCUCCUGCCUGUCAGUGACGUGUCAGUGAAGGCAACUGCCUCACAUAGGCCGGUGUCCCAGGACCCCAACCAUGUUCUCCUCAAUGUUCCUCGGCUUCUACCUUCCAAGGGCCCCAAAGCAAAGGCCAUAGGCUUCUUCUGUCUUCUCUCUCCAUUCACCACUUCCAGCCUGAUGAUGAACGGAAGUGUGAAUUAAAUUUCCAGCCCCUGUUGCAUACACAGAAAUAAAGAAUCUCCCGCUGGUCUGUCCAACUGAACACAACGACCCUAACAGAGGACAACUUCAAGUGGAUUUGGCAUGGGAUGUUCUUCAUUCCUUUCGUCUAGACAACUCUGUUAAUUCUGGCAUCAAUGAGCACACUGG
This 924-nucleotide long non-coding RNA is filed under the name Cricetulus griseus (Chinese hamster). RNAcentral describes it as "lncRNA (ENSCGRG00015035345.1)". The record is from RNAcentral. Lineage: Eukaryota; Metazoa; Chordata; Mammalia; Rodentia; Cricetidae.